UCCACAGCCGACGGCGAUCCCCCACCUCUACCUCUCCCUCCCCCACACCCACUCCACCGCAGCCUCCCUACAGAUCUGGCGACGCCUCCGCUAGGCGGGAUGGCCACGACGUCCACGUGCUCGGCAUCCAUGGUGGCCGCACACCAGACGACCCCAACGGCCGUGCACUUGAUGGCCACUUCGGAUCUUGGCCUAGUGGACAACGAUGACCAGAUCUAUUGGCAGGGAGGAUCUCAGUUGCCUCCUCGGCGACCUCUCGUCAGCCACAACCAUAUAAUUUGGAAGGUUGGUUCAUAAUGAAUAAGGAUAAUGUCUGAUUACCUUUUGUGCAAUAGAUAAUGCUCACUACAACCUAGUAUUUGUUCUCGCAUUGGGAUCUCUUUUGUGGCCAUGCGCGUGAUGGCCACUUCGGAUCUUCGCCUAGUGAACAACGAUGACCAGAUCUACCGGCAGGGAGGAUCUCGGUUGCCUCCUCGGCGACCUCUCGUCGGCCACAACCAUAUCAUUUGGGAGGAUGGCCACUUCGGAUCUUGGCCUAGUGGACAACGACGACCAGAUAUACUGGCAGGGAGGAUCUCGGUUGCCUCCUCAGCGACCUCUCGUCGGCCACAACCAUGUCAUUUGGGAGACCUUGGCCUAGUGGACAACGACGACCAGAUCUACCGGCAGGGAGGAUCUCGGUUGCCUCCUCGGCGACCCCUUGUCGUCCACAACCAUAUCAUUUGGAAGGAGUAAAAAAUAACUAGACGAGGGGAUAAAGCAAUUGAUUUGAAUGAGCCACCACGCAGCAAACAAAGGUGUGGCAAAGCUCAUCACCAAGUUAGCAACAAUUUUGCCUCGAGCAGCGCCCAUAUCCCAUCACCAUAUCUCAUCCAUCCACGUGAGAAUCCCGUUUGCCCCAACUGAAGCAAAUAGUCCC
Long non-coding RNA from Triticum aestivum (bread wheat), 919 nucleotides. RefSeq lists it as uncharacterized. The record is from RefSeq and is a predicted model, not a curated record. NCBI's taxonomy places the organism in Eukaryota, Viridiplantae, Streptophyta, Magnoliopsida, Poales, Poaceae. The transcript is spliced from 5 exons.